CUCUCUUAAUAGAUCUCUAUUCAUUUUCAAAUGAGUUGAUUAGCCAGCACAAUGUCAGUGGAUUCAGGGGCCCAUUACACAUUUAUGACAGUCAAUUACAGUACAUUUACAAUCCAAAUGAAAUUUCAUGAGGGUUGAUAUUUAAAAAAGCCUUGUGUGCAUCUGGUGCUCUUGACUCCUCCUUAUGCGCUGUGACAAAUGCAUCACAUCAGCGCCCCCUGUGGUCAGAAAUGGUGUUGCAGCAAGGAAGGUGUCUGAGCUGUCAGGGUGUGUGGACUGUAACUGUCUCUAACUCAAAGUUUGUUUCUAAGUCAUGUCUUUGCGUGCAUGUCACGGUCACAAGGAGCAGGAGCUUACAUGCUGGAUAGUACACUAGUUCAUAACAGUGCACUAUGCGCACACUCAUUCACACCUAGGUGCAGCGUAUGUGAGCCAGUUCACCUAAUCCAUGGUUUUGGGAGGUGGGAGAAUUUGUCUCAGGAUUGAUCUGUGCCGGAUUGAGCUAUGAAGAAGACAGCAAAGCAAAGCAAAAAAAAAAGAGCUCAGGCCAUGGAGGACUACAUUGAGGAAGCAUCAGGGUUCAUCUCAUCCGCAGCUGCAGGAUUCUUCUUUAUGGAAAAACAGGAUGGUGGUCUAUGGCCUUGAACUGACUACAGUACCUUACCCUCUGCCACAAGUCUCUUGGGCUUUGGAACAACUUUGUGAGGCAUGUUUUUUUCCAGGUUGGAUUAACAAAUUGCAUAUAAUCUCAUCAGAAUAUGUGAACAAGAUGAAUGGAAAACGGCCUUCCGCACCAAGAGGGGUACUAUGAGUAAUUGUUAAUGCCUUAUGGCCUAACCAAGGCUCAAUCCUUUUUAGAGAUCUCCUCAAUUGAUGUCUUAUAGUGUAUGUACAUCACAUUUUAAUAUACUCCAAGACCACUGAGGGCCAUGUUCAACCAACCUGACCUUAAGAUAUCAUUCAUGGUAGAUUUGGUCAAAUGGUGGUAUCGGAGUCGUGCUAUCAGCAUCUUGGUAUCUUGGUGUGCCUUUUUUAAUGUACAAUGACUAACUAACUAUGAUGUCGGGAACAGAGAACUACUGUGCAUCAAGGCAGCAUUAGAACAGUGGUAUCACUGGUUUGAACCCCCCCCCUGUCCCUUUUAUAUAAUCACUGACCAUAAAAACCCUGAGUUUCUUAAAAGUGCCAAGUGACUCAAUUAACGUCAGACCCGAGGGGCUGAGGCUCUUUUCUUCACUCGUUUACAGUUACCUAUUGUCCUGGGUCAAAGAAAAAGUAAAGCUGAUGCCCUCUCAUGCCACCAUGACACAAUAUAGAAAUUUUCUCAUCUCUGAAACCAUCCUCCCUCCCUCCAUUAUUAUAGCACUUUUUUUUCUGAGAAAUUAUGGAGGAAAUUAGGCAGGACCAACAGCCAUAGCCCCCACCCUCUGAGCGCCCUUCCGCCAAACAGUACACCCACAGUAAACCCAGCUCCGGACUCCUUUGCAUUCUACACCAGUCCUUUUGGUGGCCCACACUAAGCUGGGACGUAGCACAAUAUGUUUAGGCUUGCACUCAAUCCAAGUCACCUCGACAAGUACUAGAACCACUCCAUGUGCCACGACACCUCUGUUCUCACAUCUCCAUUGACUUUGUCACAGGUUUACCAAUUUCUCAUGCUUACACCACUAUCCUUGUCAUUGUCCAUUGUUUCUUCAAAGCCUGCAGGCUAGUGCCCUUCAAGGACCUUCACACAGCCAUGGAGACAGAGAAAUCACUUUUCCACAAUGUAUUCCACAUCUACAGCCUACACGAAAAAAUAGUAUCAGAGCACGUAAAGAGGGUCUUUUCUGAACUGUUGGGAGCCUCAUGUCUGGGUAUCAACCGCAGACAAACAGAACGUCUGAAACAAUAGCUGGGCUAUUAUCUGCGAACGCAUCGCGCUGGUACAGUAGAGUGUCUUCCUCUGAGGGAAGACCUGACUGGUCUGAGUAUGCUCCAUGAUUCACUCUUCCAAAAGGUCUUACGUGUUUCCACUGUUGUUCACCUGGUCUGGGGAACCAUCUGAUGUGCUGGCUGUAGAUGAUUGGUUUUGUCUGAGACAGACAGUGUUUGAGUGCCCAUAUGCACCUACAGAAGUGCCAAAAUGCACCAUCCGGCACCAUUCUAAUGAUGUUUCUAACAGUGCUAUGCAAAGUAUUGUUAGUUCAGCUACAUAUCAAGCCAUUUUAUUGUUUUUUAUUUGCCUUCCUGUGUUCUGACCCAUGUCUUGUUAUCCUGAUUUAUGUUGGUUUUGUGAUUUUGUACUGUUGUUACUGUCUUUCCUGUAUUUUGGUAUAUUAUUUUUGCUUAUUUUUUGUUUUUGGUCUUUUUUUUAUUUAUUAAAGGCUCUGGUUCUUUAAUAAACCCUAUUCAUGUAUUGUACACCACCUGCUCCUGCAAAUUCCUAACAGUAACCAAUAUGGAAUUACUCAUAAAGAAUAUUCCUGCCGAUAGCAAAUAUGUGGCGUUAACAAUGCCGGCUCCAGUUAUUACACUGUGGUAUUAAAAUGUAUACCUCCGUCCACAGCUGAAUCACCGAACAUGAUUUCUGUCAGACAAAUAAAUCCUCUUAUCCUCUCAGCUCACCUUGUGUGUGCUCCUGCUCUCAGUGGCAGACAGACGAUCAGUAGCACACUCCUGUUUGUUAGCUGUGUAUUAGCAUUGGUUUCUUUCACCAUGUUAAAUCGUGAGGCCCUUUUUUCUCCUUUCAGCGCUUUAAAUGGCAUGUCACUGCAGGCUAUUCGAAAAGCAGCACAGGCCUCUGAUCUCCCAGCUGUAACAUCGUGGCUCGCUUAGCUUCUGUGAAGGGCUUGUCUCUGCCUCUAAGCUUGUGCAGGAGUGGAGCUCUAAUAGGGGGAAAUGUCUUGGACAACUGAUUUGAAGAUAUUUUGCUUCAUGCGCUGAGAGCACGGCAGGUGAUGCGGCGUCUCUCUCUUUUGAUGUACAACAACACAGAGGCACUACUUAUGAUAGCUACAGAACACGCAAGAGUGAGAUCUUCUUAUUCUGCCUCCUGUUCCAGCUACAUCAUAGGGGCUGACAUCUAUUACGGUAAAGAAAGACAAGUGUUUGAAACUGAAUUCAAGUGCGCGUGGAAGUGUCAGGAUUUACAGCAGGCCCAUUUUUCCUGUCCCCCGCCUUUCUUCCCCCUUCUCAUUUUUUUUAAUAAGAUGGUUUAAACCAAGCAUGUCUAUAUGAACUCCGCAGGAGGAAGCAUGAAAGGAUGCUGCCAGGCCAUAAUGAAAAUAUUUUACUCUUAAAGCCUGGUUAGUUCUCAGUGUCUCGAAGUGUGUGUGUGUGUGUUUGUGUGUCCUUUUGUAGAUUUUUAGUGAUGGACUGGAAGCAUGAGAAGAACUGGAAAUUCACAUUUCUACUAAUUACUACUUAUUUAUUUACUUUUCUUACUCAUUACUAAUUUUUUCAAAUGAGUGCAUGUGGUUGGCAUGGCUAAAAGAUCAUAUCCCUGUGUAUCAUGAAAUCCACGAUUAACAAAGAAGUAAAG
Tachysurus fulvidraco (yellow catfish) is the source of this 3523-nucleotide long non-coding RNA. RefSeq lists it as uncharacterized. The transcript is spliced from 3 exons. The record is from RefSeq and is a predicted model, not a curated record. Lineage: Eukaryota; Metazoa; Chordata; Actinopteri; Siluriformes; Bagridae.